This 575-nucleotide ribosomal RNA is filed under the name Megastomatohyla pellita (Oaxacan yellow treefrog). RNAcentral's name for it is "partial 16S ribosomal RNA". It matches the Rfam family "Bacterial large subunit ribosomal RNA", at positions 1826 to 2600 of the family's 2925-position model. The record is from RNAcentral. Lineage: Eukaryota; Metazoa; Chordata; Amphibia; Anura; Hylidae.
CAUCGCCUCUUGACUAACUAUAAGAGGUCCAGCCUGCCCAGUGACUUUGUUCAACGGCCGCGGUAUCCUAACCGUGCGAAGGUAGCGUAAUCACUUGUUCUUUAAUUGAGGACUAGUAUGAAUGGCAUCACGAGGGUUAUACUGUCUCCUUUUUCUAAUCAGUGAAACUAAUCUUCCCGUGAAGAAGCGGGAAUAAAAAUAUAAGACGAGAAGACCCUAUGGAGCUUUAAACUAAAUAACAAUUUGCUUUUAAUCAUUAUAUCUAAUAAUGAACACCUAUUCCAGCUCCUUGAUUAUUAGUUUUAGGUUGGGGUGACCGCGGAGCAAAAAACAACCUCCACGCUGAAUUGGAUUUAUUAUCCUUGAGUUAUGAGCCACAACUCUAUACACCAAUAAAUUGACAUCAAUUGACCCAAUAUUUUGACCAACGAACCAAGUUACCCUAGGGAUAACAGCGCAAUCCACUUCAAGAGCUCCUAUCGACAAGUGGGUUUACGACCUCGAUGUUGGAUCAGGGUGUCCCAGUGGUGCAGCCGCUACUAAAGGUUCGUUUGUUCAACGAUUGAAACCCUACG